CAGCCGCCGCGGUAAUACGAAGGGUGCAAGCGUUAAUCGGAAUUACUGGGCGUAAAGCGUGCGUAGGCGGUGAGUUAAGUCUGCUGUGAAAUCCCCGGGCUCAACCUGGGAAUGGCAGUGGAUACUGGCUCGCUAGAGUGUGUCAGAGGAUGGUGGAAUUCCCGGUGUAGCGGUGAAAUGCGUAGAGAUCGGGAGGAACAUCAGUGGCGAAGGCGGCCAUCUGGGACAACACUGACGCUGAGGCACGAAAGCGUGGGGAGCAAACAGGAUUAGAUACCCGAGUAGUCCCUGUCUCUUAUAA
Molecule: ribosomal RNA, 301 nt
Filed under: uncultured bacterium
Lineage: Bacteria
Description: partial 16S ribosomal RNA
Rfam family: Bacterial small subunit ribosomal RNA
Source: RNAcentral